GGUGCCGUGGCCGAGUGGUUAGGCAGAGGUCUGCAAAACCUCGUAGACCGGUUCGAUUCCGGUCGGUACCUCCA
This 74-nucleotide transfer RNA is filed under the name Candidatus Saccharimonadota bacterium. RNAcentral's name for it is "tRNA-Cys". It matches the Rfam family "tRNA". From Rfam's summary of the family: Transfer RNA (tRNA) molecules are approximately 80 nucleotides in length. Their secondary structure includes four short double-helical elements and three loops (D, anti-codon, and T loops). Further hydrogen bonds mediate the characteristic L-shaped molecular structure. tRNAs have two regions of fundamental functional importance: the anti-codon, which is responsible for specific mRNA codon recognition, and the 3' end, to which the tRNAs corresponding amino acid is attached (by aminoacyl-tRNA synthetases). tRNAs cope with the degeneracy of the genetic code in two manners: having more than one tRNA (with a specific anti-codon) for a particular amino acid; and 'wobble' base-pairing, i.e. permitting non-standard base-pairing at the 3rd anti-codon position. Lineage: Bacteria; Candidatus Saccharimonadota. The record is from RNAcentral.